UACGUAGGGUGCAAGCGUUGUCCGGAAUUAUUGGGCGUAAAGAGCUCGUAGGCGGUCUGUUGCGUCGGCUGUGAAAACCCGGGGCUCAACCCCGGGCCUGCAGCCGAUACGGGCAGACUAGAGUUCGGCAGGGGAGACUGGAAUUCCUGGUGUAGCGGUGAAAAUGCGCAGAUAUCAGGAAGAACACCCGUGGCGAAGGCGGUUCUCUGGGACGGUACUGACGCUGAGACGCGAAAGCGUGGGGAGCAAACAGG
RNAcentral lists this ribosomal RNA (254 nucleotides) under uncultured bacterium. RNAcentral's name for it is "partial 16S ribosomal RNA". It matches the Rfam family "Bacterial small subunit ribosomal RNA", at positions 524 to 776 of the family's 1533-position model. The record is from RNAcentral.